CCCGCCCUCCCCCUUUUUCGUGCCUGGAGGUUGCGGGUCAGCGCGAGCCACUGCAGUGAGUCCGUCACGGCUCCGGCGUGAGCUUGAGCGCGAAGCUGCAGCCCGGGAGCCGCCUGGCCCUCGCCUCCAUCUCCCGCGCCUCUCCGCCUCGACCCCUGCUCGCCGCCUCUCCUCCCGCUCUUUCGGUUCCUGAAUCUCGACCUUAAUUUUUCUUCUCCCCCGCCCGCUCCCGCGUGCCCAGUCACCCCGUCGGCGCGGGCCCCGCGGCGCCGCCUCCCCUCCCCCAGCCCGCACCCCCUCCCCCGCGGGUGUCCCGAGGGCCGCAGCCGCCCCAGCCGAGCGCAGCUGGGCCGCCACCGCCGCCGCUUCCUGCGGGAGCCCGUCUGAGCGCCGACACUCUCCUCCGUCCGAGCCAGCCGCCGACCGCCCGCCAGCAAAAUGGGAAAUGAGGCAAGUUAUCCUUUGGAGAUGUGCUCACACUUUGAUGCUGAUGAAAUUAAAAGGCUAGGAAAGAGAUUUAAGAAGCUUGAUUUGGACAAUUCUGGUUCUUUGAGUGUGGAAGAGUUCAUGUCUCUGCCGGAGUUACAACAGAAUCCUUUAGUACAGCGAGUAAUAGAUAUAUUCGACACAGAUGGGAAUGGAGAAGUAGACUUUAAAGAAUUCAUUGAGGGAGUCUCUCAGUUCAGUGUCAAAGGCGAUAAGGAGCAGAAGUUGAGGUUUGCUUUCCGUAUCUAUGACAUGGAUAAAGAUGGCUAUAUUUCCAAUGGGGAACUCUUCCAGGUGCUGAAGAUGAUGGUGGGGAACAAUCUGAAAGAUACGCAGUUACAGCAAAUUGUAGACAAAACCAUAAUAAAUGCAGAUAAGGAUGGAGAUGGAAGAAUAUCCUUUGAAGAAUUCUGUGCUGGAAAAGAGAAAAUGCAAGAGAAACUAUAUAUGGUCUACAAAAUUCUAUCAAUUUUAUUUUACUUACCUGGCCCUUUACGGAGUAAGUUUGCCCACACUCCUGAAAGAAAGAAGCCAUGAAAAUUCUAACUAGAGGCAAUGUAACUUCAACAAAAGAAAAAACACAGCUUCUGAAAAUGGUUAAAAUAGUUGUAGGUGGCCUAGAUAUCCACAAAAAGAUGGUGGUAGAUGUGUGACUCUUUUUUAAAGAGUACCACCCAACACUUUUGCUUUCUUCUCCAUCUCUGAAGAUCUGCUCAAGACGUCCAGCAAUGCUCUCUGUGUAUUUAAAUGGAAGUAUUUUUCUCUGUGAAGCCACAUUUUCCAACAUGAGCCUCAUGAAGCCAACUAAGUGUUAUUGAACUCUUAUUCUCUCAAUAACUCCGUGUAGCACUUUAAAGUCUGAAGGACAGCAACAUGAAAAGAGCAUAUCAAUGUGGUGAAGAAAGGGAAGGGGUUGGCUUUUUAAUUUAUUUUUCUUCAUCUUUUAUAACAAAGUAUCUAUAUAUACAUAUGUAAAUAUUUAUAUAUAGAUAUAUGUAGCUUUCUAUAUGUGUAGUAGGUUGGCUUUAAUUUAAUAUACUUGAUUCAGAAACAAAAUGACAGAGUACAGAAGUGCCAAGCAGAACAUGAAACACCCUUACUGUCAUUUCACAGGUUUAUAGGUAGAAGGUUGUACAGUUUGAGCCGGGUGUUAGGCCAGCUACUUUCUUUCCUGUGCUUUCUCCUUUGAGAGAUUGACAAAGCAUUUGUUAACGUCCUAUGAUUUACCUUAAGUACAUUUUUGUAACAAAGGAGUUUGUAACUUUAUUUAUACCUAUGAAUAUAUUUCCAGGGACUAUGUCUCAUUGCUGAGCAGCUUUUAUUACAUCUUUGCUUGAGGAGAAAGUAUAGUCAGUGCUACUGCCAAGAGCUCGUUCUUGUGUUCAUAUAGUGCCUGCACAAAGCUUGCGGCUGCUUCAUUCUGUUGCUUCAUAACUGGGAGCCAUUACAUUUAUUAAAUGUCCCUGAGUACAUGUAAGUUUCAGUUGUGAUUUCAUACAUAAAGGCCAGAAGCUAUGUGAGGCAAUCAUAAUUUAUCUUUGACAUUACUUAAUGAAGAGUACCUGAAGUAAUCACAUAACUGCAUAUCCAUUUGUUUUAUUACGUGGGUAAAUAACUUGUAAUUAAACCUAAGUUUGAACUGCAAACUUCCCCUCUGUGUUUCAAAUGACUUGCAGCUAAUUUGAAACUUGGGUGAUAUUUAAAUUGCAUGUAUGUAUCUAAACACCCAACAUAUAUUUGUGACUUAAAUGGGAGAAAUCUUACUCAUGUGUAUGUCACAGAAGAGAAAGUUUUUAUCCAAAUUUAUACCUCUUAAAUUUCUUUACCAUAAGGCAUAAAGAGUGCAUGAAAAUUUUCUUCCUUGAUUUGCUCAUAUUUGUAAUGGGUAACUUAAUAAAUUUGUGUGAUAUAAAAGUAGUAUAUCAUGUUCCACCACUUGUUAUUGUCCCUUCCCUUUUCUGCAAAGGUACUGUUGGCUGGAAGAAAACGUUACGGCUAGCUUUCUAGGACAGUAGUCUUUCCCUAUAUAGUUUUUCAGUAAAACUGGUUUUAUAGUCAUGAGUGGGAAAGGGCAGGUUGAGUGGAGGUGAAUCUUAAAUUGGGCGUACCUGCCUGCUAUUGCUGUUCCUUCAACUGAGUGCUGCACAUCAUGGGCUCUGUCUGUGAGAGAAAAAUCUCGGUGCUUGGUGUCCUUGCAUGACAUGGAGUUUUGCAUGUAGAUCGAUUUAAAAUGUACCUCUUGUUUACAUAAUUUGCAUAAUUUUAAAAGAUAAUGUUGCCAAACUUUGGAAAUGUUAAUGUUCAAACUGAAAAUCUCCACUACAUGUAACUUUCUUCCUCUGGAUCAGUACGUGGUUUAUAAUCCCAGCCAGUGGUUUGAUCUGUUCCAGUGUCAACUGCCAUGUGCUCUGCUUCAAGGGGGAACUAGUCUUUUGUGAAUUUUUUGUACAUAAGUAUUUGUUACAGAUAUUUUAGCAAAUGCUUUCUAUUUCUCUUGCUUGUGCAUAUCUUGGCUGGCGUUACAGAAAAAUAGUGCAAACAUUAUUUCCUUACUGGGGAAUGAGGGUUUUUUUCUUUUUUUUUUAAGUGCGUGUGGGUGGGGGGAGGGUGGUUUAUGUUGAAUGUUUAGUUUUUCUUCUGCAUGAAACAUCAUGUUGUGGGAUCUUUAGACAACUUCAUACUGUAUGAAUAAAAAAAAUAAAAUAUUUGGAACCUGA
Myotis myotis is the source of this 3203-nucleotide RNA transcript. It is a transcript of the gene named protein phosphatase 3 regulatory subunit B, alpha, with no coding region annotated. The transcript has 7 exons. The record is from RefSeq and is a predicted model, not a curated record. NCBI's taxonomy places the organism in Eukaryota, Metazoa, Chordata, Mammalia, Chiroptera, Vespertilionidae.